UAAGCGAAUAGUGAAAUGACGAGGCUCAACCUUGUGUCCAUUAUUUGAACUGCUAAGCUAGAGGAUGAGAGAGGUUAUUGGAAUUUCUUGUGUAGGAGUGAAAUCCGUAGAUAUAAGAAGGAACACCGAUGGCGUAGGCAGAUAACUGGCUCAUUCCUGACACUGAGGCACGAAAGCAUGGGGAGCGAACGGGAUUAGAUACCCCGGUAGUCCAUGCCGUAAACGAUGGAUGCUA
RNAcentral lists this ribosomal RNA (235 nucleotides) under uncultured Candidatus Saccharibacteria bacterium. RNAcentral's name for it is "partial 16S ribosomal RNA". It matches the Rfam family "Bacterial small subunit ribosomal RNA", at positions 584 to 818 of the family's 1533-position model. The record is from RNAcentral. Lineage: Bacteria; Candidatus Saccharimonadota.